RNAcentral lists this long non-coding RNA (982 nucleotides) under Volvox carteri. RNAcentral describes it as "long non-coding RNA (VCAR_LNC000500)". Lineage: Eukaryota; Viridiplantae; Chlorophyta; Chlorophyceae; Chlamydomonadales; Volvocaceae. The record is from RNAcentral.
GUCGUGCUUUUCGUUGCGGUUGUUCCUGUUUUUCCAUACCAUUUACCACAUCUUCCGCCUUUGACACGCCCACAGUCCUCAUCCUGGCCUUCUGCGACUGGCUGACCUUCGCCGUGUUGCGCAGGUCGCUGAUGCUCCGCCAGCUGCCCUCCAGUUCCAUGAACUGUGUAUGUAAGUAUGUAUGUAGGCCGGGGAGCGAAGGGAACAAGGGGAUGGGAGGGGUCAGGGGGUCGAUUACAAACAAAAACCCCAACCCGGGGGAGGCAGCACGAGGCAGACGGAAAGGGGGGCUGGACGGACGGGGUGGUACGGCACAGUACGGCGGCGUGGCACGGCGUUAGGGGGUGUGCGACGGCACCGGCAGGGGGUGUCCGAACGGAAGAGAAGCUCUCUCUCUCUCUCUCACACACACACACACACACACACACACACACACACACACUACAUGAGGUAGAUCGACACAGGGUGGGUCGCGCGCCCUCGGUCGAGCAGUACUAGGGGACUGUGGGGACCCCUCACGCUCCUCUCAUCCCCGCCGCUAGGGGGACAGUGCUUCGGCGGUCGUUCCCGUUGGGGUAUACGGUUAGUUGCCCCUGGCCAGUGUCAGGCCCGGAUCGUUGUGUAACAGAUACAUAUACAUACACACACAUACAUUCAUACACACAGAACGACUCAUCUUAUAACACACACACAGCACGACACGCAGAACCCCCGGGCAAUCCGCAGCCUCCUCCUAACCCAUCCACACAUUCAAACGGCCACAGCGACAUCAAGGCCCCCCUGGAGCACCAACCCCCAUAACCUCCAUAAAUAUAACCCAUUGGACCCACCAUUGGGGCUACUUAUCCCAGGCCAGGGCCCCAGCGGCCCUCAGGAUGGGCUCCGUCAGAACCCCACCAAAAACACACACGCACACGCACACGCGCACCUGGUUCACGUGGCUCUCGAUCUGCGCGGUCAGCGCCGGCAGCCAACGGUCCAG